GCGGUAGUAGCUCAAUUGGUAGAGCAUCGCGUUGCCAUCGCGAAGGUUGCGAGUUCGAGUCUCGUCUACCGCUCCA
This 76-nucleotide transfer RNA is filed under the name Peptococcaceae bacterium 1109. Its description in RNAcentral is "tRNA-Gly". It matches the Rfam family "tRNA". From Rfam's summary of the family: Transfer RNA (tRNA) molecules are approximately 80 nucleotides in length. Their secondary structure includes four short double-helical elements and three loops (D, anti-codon, and T loops). Lineage: Bacteria; Bacillati; Bacillota; Clostridia; Eubacteriales; Peptococcaceae. The record is from RNAcentral. RNAcentral also lists the same sequence under 3 other names.